AAGAAUGAGUGACAGUAGAUAAUGUAAGCCUCGGCUAACUACGUGCCAGCAGCCGCGGUAAUACGUAGGAGGCAAACGUUGCUCGGAUUUACUGGGCGUAAAGGGUGAGUAGGCGGACUUAUAAGUCUAAGGUGAAAGACCGAAGCUCAACUUCGGGAACGCCUCGGAUACUGUAAGUCUUGGAUAUUGUAGGGGAUGAUGGAAUUCUCGGUGUAGCGGUGGAAUGUGCAGAUAUCGAGAGGAACACCUAUAGCGAAGGCAGUCAUCUGGGCAUUUAUCGACGCUGAAUCACGAAAGCUAGGGGAGCAAACAGGCUUAGAUACCCUGGUAGUCCUAGCCGUAAACGUUGUACACUAGGUGCUUCUAUAUAAAUAGGAGUGCCGUAGCUAACGUCUUAAGUGUACCGCCUGAGGAGUAUGCCCGCAAGGGUGAAACUCAAAGAAAUUGACGGG
Molecule: ribosomal RNA, 452 nt
Filed under: Brachyspira sp.
Lineage: Bacteria; Pseudomonadati; Spirochaetota; Spirochaetia; Brachyspirales; Brachyspiraceae
Description: bacterial SSU rRNA
Rfam family: Bacterial small subunit ribosomal RNA
Source: RNAcentral